UUUCGAAUUAACGCGGUUUUUUUUUACGCGGAUUUUCGAAUUAACGCGGUUGUUUUUUACGCGGUGUUUUUUUACGCGGGACGAAAUACCGCAUAAAAAAAACCUCAGUGUACUUCGGACACGCCGAGAGAAAAGAUUCCUCACCUGUGCAAUACAAACACUUGCUUACUGUUUGUAUUUCACACGAAGCUUCCGCAUGUAUUGUCAUUGAAGUUGAAAUCCGAAGUUUUCGCGCUGGUGAUCGGCAACCUUGCCAACUAGCGACGUUGUGAAAUAUCAUUACUGGCAACGCUUUUGUAAAGUAAUAACCAGCGUGCCUAUACAGCUACGGGUGGUUGCAUAUUGAGCAACAGUAGGCAAGGAGUACCAAAAGUUUCUCAUUGCACUGAACCAAAUUGGGCGAUUAAAUUUAUAGGGUCCUUUUAGUAAAUCUAAUUAUUCCCAGUCAAAUCUAAACUACUAAAUUAUCCUUUCAAAGAUAUAGGAAAAUUUAAUAGAUUGUAUCUGCCUCACUCACCUUGUGAAAUACAUAGGAAAAUCCAAUAAUUAUCAAACCAAAUUGAGCGAUUCAAUUUAAAGGGUCAUUCCAAUAAAUCCUAUUAUUCGCAGUCAAAUUUAAGCUACUAAAGUGUCUUCUGAAAGAUAUAUGAAAAUCCAAUAAAUUGUGUCUGCAUCAUCCACUUGAUAAAAUGCAUAGGAAAAUUCAAUAACUUUUAUUACUUUCGUGUGGCAUACCUUUCAUUUCUGCUUUGUGAUCUGUGACGUUGGAUUAUGAAUUUUUGUUCAGAUCGUUGUCAACUGAAAAUUAUAGCUUAAUUUUCCCAAUAAAUUGAUUAUUUAGUUAAUAACGGCCCAUCGAUACUAAGUUAAAUAAAAUAUGAAGGAAAUAUACAGGUGAGUUCCUAUUCCGUAUAUUUUCGAAUGAUUUGUGCGAGUUUUGUAAAUGGUGACCAAUGUUUUUAAUACAAGAUUGGAACGGAACCAUAUUCCCCGGAACCAUAUAACAGGACAUAACCGGAAUAGCCAAGGAACUUAGUUGGAAACCUCGACAAAGCAGUGUCGACAAAAAUCCAAAUGGGGUAAAUAAAAGAGCGGAUGAGGUCAAAGUCUAGCGAUACGCAAGUUGAAAGUGUCUAGAACUCCCUCUAGGGAGAGGACAAAGUGGUAACAACUUCACACCGAAUUGGGACAGACCGAUACCAAUCGGUAUCUGGUCUCGGUCAUCGAAGAGAGUGCUACAUGGUCAAGCUAUUUUCGCCUGUGGCCUGUACGAUGAGGCACUUCAUUAUUUCGUUCUCGUCGAGUUGAAUUUGCGUUCAGAGAAGUGUAAUUGCAGUCGCAGCAUCCGGAUUCUGACCGUCGUAUCAUACACCAUAAGAGGAUGGAAAAAUCACGAUCCAAGUUCAAACAAACCAAACAUGCCGCAGAUCCUCCAAUCCGACUGACCAAUUAUAGUCUAGUGGUCGAAGCCGAUUGCCGGAACGGUUUAAGAUGAAACGGAACUGGAGAUUGAAUUCCGAAUUAUCGACGAACUGGGCUAGCUCAAGAUUUUUGUAUUCGGAUGUAGAAGUAUGAUGAAGCUUGAGUAGGAGUCCCGUCCUACGUUUCAAUGUUUCGAUCGAUUUCCUAAGAGUGCCUUGUAGUGCCAAAAGUAAAGUUGUAUUACUUCUUAAAAUACAGCAAAUUUUAAUUAAAAUUUUGACUUACCUUAUUGGUUCUAUCAUAUGCCAGCAAGCUACUGUAUAUAA
Molecule: long non-coding RNA, 1748 nt
Organism: Uranotaenia lowii
Lineage: Eukaryota; Metazoa; Arthropoda; Insecta; Diptera; Culicidae
Exons: 3
Source: RefSeq, a predicted model, not a curated record